Molecule: ribosomal RNA, 497 nt
Filed under: uncultured bacterium
Lineage: Bacteria
Description: partial 16S ribosomal RNA
Rfam family: Bacterial small subunit ribosomal RNA
Source: RNAcentral
AUUGAACGCUGGCGGCAUGCCUUACACAUGCAAGUCGAACGGUAACAGGUCUUCGGAUGCUGACGAGUGGCGAACGGGUGAGUAAUACAUCGGAACGUGCCUAGUAGUGGGGGAUAACUACUCGAAAGAGUGGCUAAUACCGCAUGAGAUCUACGGAUGAAAGCAGGGGAUCGCAAGACCUUGUGCUACUAUAGCGGCCGAUGGCAGAUUAGGUUGUUGGUGGGAUAAAAGCUUACCAAGCCGACGAUUGGUAGCUGGUCUGAGAGGACGAUCAGCCACACUGGGACUGAGACACGGCCCAGACUCCGACGGGAGGCAGCAGUGGGGAAUUUUGGACAAUGGGCGCAAGCCUGAUCCAGCAAUGCCGCGUGCAGGAUGAAGGCCUUCGGGUUGUAAACUGCUUUUGUACGGAACGAAAAGCCCUGGGUUAAUACCCUGGGGUCAUGACGGUACCGUAAGAAUAGCACCGGCUAACUACGUGCCAGCAGCCGCGGUAA